CGUUCAAACACCGGUCCCCAUGCGACCACCGAAGUUAAGCAACGUCAAGUUUGGUCAGCACCUAGAUAGGUGACCACUUUGGAAUACCACGGACUGUAA
Acanthosepion pharaonis is the source of this 99-nucleotide non-coding RNA. Lineage: Eukaryota; Metazoa; Mollusca; Cephalopoda; Sepiida; Sepiidae. The record is from the annotation of a GenBank genome assembly.